AGAGAAGGCAUACACGCAGCCUAAGAGACACAGGAAACACUCGAGCGUCGCGCAGAAGAGCGAAUGCAUUGUGAUAAAUAAAAGAGUUCAGGCAACAGCAAGCCAGAAGAGUUGCAGUUGCUAUUUUCAAAGAAUCUUGGCAAUGGCUUACAAUUUGGAAUCCAUACAGAUGUGCAAUUUUCAAAGCACCAACUUAUGGAAUUGCACUUUAGAAGUAUAUACUGUACACAGCUGUUCUCUGCUCAAAAAACAAUAUCAGUAUUGUGACACCGGUGCGAAAUUCUCCUUCUU
Molecule: long non-coding RNA, 291 nt
Filed under: Coccomyxa subellipsoidea
Lineage: Eukaryota; Viridiplantae; Chlorophyta; Trebouxiophyceae; Coccomyxaceae
Description: long non-coding RNA (CSUB_LNC000566)
Source: RNAcentral